This 432-nucleotide ribosomal RNA is filed under the name uncultured bacterium. RNAcentral's name for it is "partial 16S ribosomal RNA". It matches the Rfam family "Bacterial small subunit ribosomal RNA", at positions 29 to 507 of the family's 1533-position model. The record is from RNAcentral.
AACGAACGCUGGCGGCAUGCCUAACACAUGCAAGUCGAACGAGACCUUCGGGUCUAGUGGCGCACGGGUGCGUAACGCGUGGGAACCUGCCCUUAGGUUCGGAAUAACUCCCCGAAAGGGGUGCUAAUACCGGAUAAUGUCUUCGGACCAAAGAUUUAUCGCCUUUGGAUGGGCCCGCGUUGGAUUAGCUAGUUGGUAGGGUAAAAGCCUACCAAGGCGACGAUCCAUAGCUGGUCUGGGAGGAUGAUCAGCCACACUGGGACUGAGACACGGCCCAGACUCCUCGGGGGGGAGGCAGUGGGGAAUAUGGGACAGUGGGCGAAAGCCUGAUCCGGCAAGGCCGGGUGGGUGAUGAAGGCCUAGGGUUGUAAAGCUCUUUUACCCGGGAUGAUAAUGACAGUACCGGGAGAAUAAGCUCCGGCUAACUCCGUG